CCUACGGGUGGCAGCAGUCGAGAAUCAUUCACAAUGGGGGAAACCCUGAUGGUGCGACGCCGCGUGGGGGAAUGAAGGUCUUCGGAUUGUAAACCCCUGUCAUGUGGGAGCAAAUUAAAAAGAUAGUACCACAAGAGGAAGAGACGGCUAACUCUGUGCCAGCAGCCGCGGUAAUACAGAGGUCUCAAGCGUUGUUCGGAAUCACUGGGCGUAAGGCGUGCGUAGGCUGUUUCGUAAGUCGUGUGUGAAAGGCGCGGGCUCAACCCGCGGACGGCACAUGAUACUGAGAGACUAGAGUAAUGGAGGGGGAACCGGAAUUCGCGGUGUAGCAGUGAAAUGCGUAGAUAUCGAGAGGAACACUCGUGGCGAAGGCGGGUUCCUGGACAUUAACUGACGCUGAGGCACGAAGGCCAGGGGAGCGAAAGGGAUUAGAUACCCGAGUAGUC
This 446-nucleotide ribosomal RNA is filed under the name uncultured bacterium. Its description in RNAcentral is "partial 16S ribosomal RNA". It matches the Rfam family "Bacterial small subunit ribosomal RNA", at positions 338 to 795 of the family's 1533-position model. The record is from RNAcentral.